Molecule: ribosomal RNA, 2754 nt
Filed under: Chryseobacterium sp. PCH239
Lineage: Bacteria; Pseudomonadati; Bacteroidota; Flavobacteriia; Flavobacteriales; Weeksellaceae
Description: 23S ribosomal RNA
Rfam family: Bacterial large subunit ribosomal RNA
Source: RNAcentral
AAAGAAAUCGUUAAGGGCGUAUGGCGGAUGCCUAGGCUUUCAGAGGCGACGAAGGACGUGGUAAGCUGCGAAAAGCUGCGGGGAUUGGCACACACGAAUUGAUCCGCAGAUAUCCGAAUGGGGCAACCCGGCAUAUUGAAGAUAUGUCACCUCGUAAGAGGAGCAAACCCGGAGAACUGAAACAUCUAAGUACCCGGAGGAAAAGAAAUCGAAGAGAUUCCGUAAGUAGUGGCGAGCGAAAGCGGAUUAGCCCAAAAGUCUUUUUAUGUUUAGAGGAAUGUUCUGGAAAGAACAAUCAUAGAAGGUGAUAAUCCUGUACUCGAAAGGCAUAUAGAGAUGAUAAAUGAGUAGGGCGGGACACGUGAAAUCCUGUCUGAAUAUGGGGGGACCAUCCUCCAAGGCUAAAUACUCCUGAAAGACCGAUAGUGAACAAGUACUGUGAAGGAAAGGUGAAAAGCACUUCGAAUAGAAGGGUGAAAUAGAACCUGAAACCGUACGCCUACAAGCGGUCGGAGCAGCGUAAUGCUGUGACGGCGUGCCUUUUGCAUAAUGAGCCUACGAGUUAAUUUUACUAGCGAGGUUAAGGUAUUAAGUACCGGAGCCGGAGCGAAAGCGAGUCUGAAUAGGGCGCAUAGUUAGUAGGAUUAGACGCGAAACCUUGUGAUCUACCCAUGGGCAGGUUGAAGCUCUGGUAACACAGAGUGGAGGACCGAACCGGUUGACGUUGAAAAGUCUUCGGAUGACCUGUGGGUAGGGGUGAAAGGCCAAUCAAACUGGGAGAUAGCUCGUACUCUCCGAAAUGCAUUUAGGUGCAGCGUCGUAUAUAAGUUUAUUAGAGGUAGAGCUACUGAUUGGAUGCGGGGGUUUCAUCGCCUACCAAUUCCUGACAAACUCCGAAUGCUAAUAAAUGUUCUACGGCAGUGAGGGCAUGGGUGCUAAGGUCCAUGUCCGAGAGGGAAAGAACCCAGACCAACAGCUAAGGUCCCCAAAUAUAUGUUAAGUUGAAGCAACGCGGUUGGACUGCAUUGACAGCUAGGAUGUUGGCUUGGAAGCAGCCAUUCAUUUAAAGAGUGCGUAACAGCUCACUAGUCGAGCGGUCCGGCAUGGAUAAUAAUCGGGCAUAAACAUAUUACCGAAGCUAUGGAUUUAUAUUUUAGAUAUAUCUGGUAGGAGAGCAUUCUAUUUGCGCCGAAGCAGUACUGUGAGGUAUUGUGGAGCGGAUAGAAAAGAAAAUGUAGGCAUAAGUAACGAUAAAGCAGGCGAGAAACCUGCUCACCGAAAGACCAAGGCUUCCUCAGCCAUGCUAAUCAGCUGAGGGUUAGUCGGGACCUAACGCGAACCCGAAAGGGGUAGUGGAUGGACAAUGGGUUAAUAUUCCCAUACUUGCUCACAAUAAAAGGGGACGGUUGGAUGUAGCUGCUGGAGACUGACGGAAUAGUCAAGGCCUAGCCUUCGGGCGAAGCUGCUGUAGUGUAAUCUGAUCCAAGAAAAGCCGAAGUGAAGCAACCCGUACCAAAACCGACACAGGUGGUCGAGGAGAGAAUCCUAAGGUGCUCGAGUGAGUCGUGGCUAAGGAACUAGGCAAAAUAGUCUCGUAACUUCGGAAGAAGAGACGCCAACAGCAAUGUUGGCCGCAGUGAAGAGGCCCAGGCGACUGUUUAUCAAAAACACAGGACUCUGCUAAAUCGAAAGAUGCUGUAUAGGGUCUGACACCUGCCCGGUGCUGGAAGGUUAAGGAAGGUGCUUAGCGUAAGCGAAGGCAUUAACUGAAGCCCCAGUAAACGGCGGCCGUAACUAUAACGGUCCUAAGGUAGCGAAAUUCCUUGUCGGGUAAGUUCCGACCUGCACGAAUGGUGUAACGAUCUGGGCACUGUCUCAGCCACGAGCUCGGUGAAAUUGUAGUAUCGGUGAAGAUGCCGAUUACCCGCAAUGGGACGAAAAGACCCUGUGAACCUUUACUAUAACUUCGUAUUGACUUUGAGUAAGUAAUGUGUAGGAUAGGUGGGAGGCUUUGAAGCAGGCACGCUAGUGUUUGUGGAGCCGACGUUGAAAUACCACCCUUUACUUACUUGGAGCCUAACUUCUUUCAGAAGGACAUUGCGUGGUGGGUAGUUUGACUGGGGUGGUCGCCUCCAAAAGAGUAACGGAGGCUUUCAAAGGUACCCUCAGCACGCUUGGUAACCGUGCGUAGAGUGUAAUGGCAUAAGGGUGCUUGACUGUGAGACCUACAAGUCGAUCAGGUGCGAAAGCAGGACAUAGUGAUCCGGUGGUUCCGUAUGGAAGGGCCAUCGCUCAUAGGAUAAAAGGUACUCCGGGGAUAACAGGCUAGUCUCCCCAAGAGCUCACAUCGACGGGGAGGUUCGGCACCUCGAUGUCGGCUCGUCACAUCCUGGGGCUGGAGAAGGUCCCAAGGGUUGGGCUGUUCGCCCAUUAAAGUGGCACGCGAGCUGGGUUCAGAACGUCGUGAGACAGUUCGGUCUCUAUCUAUUGCGGGCGUUAGAUGUUUGAGAGGGCUUGAUUCUAGUACGAGAGGACCGAAUUGAACAAACCUCUGGUGUAUCAGUUGUACCGCCAGGUGCACCGCUGAGUAGCUACGUUUGGAAGAGAUAAGCACUGAAAGCAUAUAAGUGCGAAACUCGCCUCAAGAUGAGACAUCUUUUAAGGGUCGUUGUAGAUGACGACGUUGAUAGGCUAUAGGUGUAAAGACAGUAAUGUCAUAGCCAAGUAGUACUAAUUACCCGUAGAUUUAUAGUC